UGUUACCGUCGGCGUAAAGUAUGGAUUCCUGCUGGGCAACUACGUCUUAACAGAUAAAAGUCGAAGUGUUUGGCGGUUCAAGAUACCGGCCCCGUGGGACUUGACGGUUAAUCUGAUGAUCCGCAUUAUCCCCUACUUAUUCUUAAGCUGGUGUAUGGUCGUCGUAAGUUUACGUUGUAAGACUGUAGGCCAGAGCCAACUUGGUUGGGUGAAGUCAGAUCGUUAUGCCGCCAUGAAUAAGGCUUAGUUGAGUCACAUUUAUUAGAUUUCGGAAUGCUUGUAGAAAUACGAGCAGGAAGGAGGAAUGGGAAGUAAGAAGAAAAUAGUUCGUUCUUCUGAAUGGGGAUCAUUUUGAGUGUACAAAUCGCCC
This 370-nucleotide ribosomal RNA is filed under the name Barbatia sp. YF-2011. RNAcentral describes it as "partial 12S ribosomal RNA". It matches the Rfam family "Microsporidia small subunit ribosomal RNA", at positions 751 to 1197 of the family's 1311-position model. The record is from RNAcentral. Lineage: Eukaryota; Metazoa; Mollusca; Bivalvia; Arcoida; Arcidae.